This 558-nucleotide long non-coding RNA is filed under the name Salarias fasciatus (jewelled blenny). RNAcentral describes it as "lncRNA (ENSSFAG00005014851.1)". The record is from RNAcentral. Lineage: Eukaryota; Metazoa; Chordata; Actinopteri; Blenniiformes; Blenniidae.
GUCCUGGUGGCUCGCAGUGAAACGUGGACUUCUCUCAGAUCCACAUGAACAGAUCGGACUCUCUUUUCUGGGUUUUCUUCCUCCUGUUGCUGGAUGUCUGGAUUCACGCUGACGGAACUGACAUCGAGCUGAGUCAUUCAUCAGUUUCAGUGGAUGAAUCAGCAGUCUUCCCCAGCUAUCAUCUGAAUACUUUCAUCAACAUUCAAGCAAUGUUUUUACUUCCAUCCAUCCAUCCAUUUUCUACCGCUUAUCCGGGGCCGGGUCGCGGGGGCAGCAGUCUCAGCAGGGAUGCCCAGACUUCCCUGUCCCCAGACACUUCCUCCAGCUCCUCUGGGAGGAUCCCAAGGCGUUCCCAGGCCAGCCGAGAGACAUAGUCUCUCCAGCGUGUCCUGGGUCUUCCCCGGGGUCUCCUCCCAGUGGGACAUGCCCGGAACACCUCCCUAGGGAGGCGUCCAGGAGGCAUCCUAAACAGAUGUCCGAGCCACCUCAGCUGGUUCCUCUCGAUGUGGAGGAGUAGCGGCUCUACUCCGAGCUCCUCCCUGGUGACUGAGCUCCUCA